Ammonifex degensii KC4 is the source of this 113-nucleotide regulatory RNA element. It matches the Rfam family "pan motif". NCBI's taxonomy places the organism in Bacteria, Bacillati, Bacillota, Clostridia, Thermoanaerobacterales, Thermoanaerobacteraceae. The record is from Rfam.
AGGACGGCAUCCGUGCAAGUUUCCGGAGCCGUACCGGAAAUAAAGCUCGAUUUGGUUUAAAACCAUAAGAAAUUUUAAGGCCGCUUGGAUCCGCUCAGGACCGAGACGGACGG